RNAcentral lists this long non-coding RNA (459 nucleotides) under Capsella rubella. RNAcentral's name for it is "long non-coding RNA (CRUB_LNC003731)". The record is from RNAcentral. Lineage: Eukaryota; Viridiplantae; Streptophyta; Magnoliopsida; Brassicales; Brassicaceae.
UCAACGUUUACAAAAGUGACCAUUAUAUAAAAAUAAAUAUGUAGAGUUGUGCAGUGCUGCUGAUAAAUCAUAACUUCAGAUUUUUUUUUUUUCCAAUUAAACUUAAGAUUAAAGAAUAAUUAAUAAAAUAAUGUCAUUAUUGAUUUUAGUGGUGUUCAAAUGAUAACCAUAUUUCCAGGCUUCCAGCGUAUAUGAUCCUUAGCUAUAGUUUGGAAUAAAAAAGAGUAAUAAUAAUCCGAGUGAUUACGGCUAAACAUCUGUAACUAUACCAACUUUUUUUUUUUUUUGUGAAGCUUAAAAAAGGAUCUAAAAUAUUUUAGAAGAGAUUAUAAUUUUUUUUCUAAAACAAAUUAUCAUAUUAUUCAUGAAUUUUACAAUAAAAUAUAAAUACAUGUUAGUCAAAUCUUUAACAUUAAUAAGUUUUUUUUUAUCUCUUCCAUUUACGAGUUCUUCAUUUAA